GACUGCGUAGCUCAGUUGGAAGAGCAUUGGGCUAGUAUUCCAAAGGUCGUAGGUUCGAAUUCUACCGUGGCCG
This 73-nucleotide transfer RNA is filed under the name Paramuricea clavata. It matches the Rfam family "tRNA". From Rfam's summary of the family: Transfer RNA (tRNA) molecules are approximately 80 nucleotides in length. The record is from Rfam by way of RNAcentral. Lineage: Eukaryota; Metazoa; Cnidaria; Anthozoa; Malacalcyonacea; Plexauridae.